UGUGAACUUACCUAUGUUGCCUCGGCAGGGAACCUACCCGGUACUUACCCUGUAUUUGCUGGGUAGGCCUGCCGAAGGACCUGUUAAACUCUUGUUUUAUUGUGGCACUCUGAGUAACCAAAAGUAAAUAAGUUAAAACUUUCAACAACGGAUCUCUUGGUUCUGGCAUCGAUGAAGAACGCAUCGAAAUGCGAUAAGUAAUGUGAAUUGCAGAAUUCAGUGAAUCAUCGAAUCUUUGAACGCACAUUGCGCCCACUAGUAUUCUGGUGGGCAUGCCUGUUCGAGCGUCAUUUCGACCCCUAAGCCUUAGUUGUUUAGCGUUGGGAGCUUGCAUAUCCGCGGUCUAGCCGUGGCGUAACUCCUUAAAUUUCGUGGCAGGGCUCGUGUCGCCUUGAAGUGUAGUAAUUAUGUUCUCACUUUUAAAAGGCGGUCACGCGGCACAGCCAAGUGAAACCUUUUAUAUAUAAUGGUUGACCUCGGAUCAUGUAGGAAUACCCGCUGAACUUAAGCAUAUCA
Molecule: ribosomal RNA, 516 nt
Filed under: Lopadostoma fagi
Lineage: Eukaryota; Fungi; Ascomycota; Sordariomycetes; Xylariales; Xylariaceae
Description: eukaryotic LSU rRNA
Rfam family: 5.8S ribosomal RNA (bases 137-290)
Source: RNAcentral